AGAGAGAUGGCUUAGUGGUGAAAGCAAUUAGCUUCCAAUAAAUAGAUCGCUAGUUUGAACUUUGUCCUACCUA
Molecule: transfer RNA, 73 nt
Filed under: Schistosoma mansoni
Lineage: Eukaryota; Metazoa; Platyhelminthes; Trematoda; Strigeidida; Schistosomatidae
Rfam family: tRNA
About the family: Transfer RNA (tRNA) molecules are approximately 80 nucleotides in length. Their secondary structure includes four short double-helical elements and three loops (D, anti-codon, and T loops).
Source: Rfam by way of RNAcentral